This 369-nucleotide unclassified non-coding RNA is filed under the name fungal sp. Its description in RNAcentral is "partial internal transcribed spacer region". The stretch from base 1 to 46 matches the Rfam family "Eukaryotic small subunit ribosomal RNA", at positions 1786 to 1831 of the family's 1831-position model. Lineage: Eukaryota; Fungi. The record is from RNAcentral.
AAGUCGUAACAAGGUUUCCGUAGGUGAACCUGCGGAAGGAUCAUUAACACGUUAAACACGUUUAAUAACCCCAAAACGUCGCGAACUGUAUGUGACCAUCCAAUCAUGCUGACAAAGAGCUUCUAUUGAAGUCGUGGAAAGAAACUGGAUUUGUGAACGUCUUUAACAAAUCCCUUUUCUAGCUCGAUGUUGUACAUGCAUUUUUGGUUUGGUAUAUUAUCCACUCUUCUCUAAUAACUCUAUGUAAAUAUUUGACUAAAUUGUGGUGGAAAGUAGGCUGUGUUUCCUAACGGGAACUACGCAUCUACGCUCUACGCACGUUAAAUUUUAACUAAAGAACAACUCUUAGCAACGGAUAUCUCGGCUCUC